CCCAAUGUUCUAUGACAGUUAAGAAGCAGUCUGCCUGGAGCAUCAACAGCUGGCUUCUGGGUCAGAGGUCAUGAGCUCUGAGGUUCCUCAGGUGUUGCCUGGAUAAAAAUGCCCUUUUACCUGCCUAUAAAAAACUUCAAAGAAACUAAGACCCAGAGAAAGAAAACAUCUUGGCCAAGGAUCCAGUCAUUGGUGAAACUGAUACUCAUAUCCAUUUACAUAGAAUACUGCCCCAGAGAAACAGGCAGCAGCCAUCAGCACUGAGACAAAGCCAUCCGUAAGCAGAAAGAUUACAACUUGUUGGAAGCUCGGAUGAUUAGUAUUUUUUAGCAGUAUUUUAAAAUUAAGCGCAACGACGUGAUGAGCUCCAUAAUGUCUUAGGUCUUGCAUGGCCCUCUACGUGGCAGCUGAUUUUCACUUUUGCUUCUCUGACAUUCUCCUGGGAAGGCCACUAGCCACUCAGCCUGCACUUCACAUCACCUUGAAGCUGUUCCAUGAGGCUUUGCAGCAGCCGAGGCACUGUCACCUGCGUACCCUGUUUAGUUUUGUCAGAGUUGAACCACAAGAAUAUACAAUAAUGGGAGAGAGACCAAAGAGUUAAACCUUAUUCAGACUGAGCAAAGCGCCUUCUGGGAAGCUGGUUCACUGGCUAAGAAUACUCUAUGUCCUAUACAUGAUACUCUAUGUACUGUACUCAUUGUACAUAAGGAAACAGGUUUUUUGUAGGUCAAAAAGGUUGAAUGUUGGUAAUUUCAUAUGCUUCACCGUAUAAUUAUACUCUGACUUGCUAUAAUGGAUUUAUAGAGUCUCUAUUUUUAAUAAAAAUAUUUCUGUGCUAUAUAGGGCAGUGCUCAACAACAUAUGUGUAUAAUUCAUGUUGCUAUUCUUAGACUUUUAGUUGUAGCAAAAGAUCCAGAUCUUGGCCUUAAUACUUUCCUGGGGUUGGUGUCGGUUUCUUGGAGAAAUGGGGAGGUGGGCUAAGCAUGGAGGCUGGGUGUGCUCUCUCAUUAUUGACAUCACAACAGGCAGUUUGCAGCAUAAGUCUCCAGCCCAGAGUGUCCUCACUGAGCCAUUUGUUUGCUCUAGCUGACCCAGAUAUUACAGUGGGGAUAGAUGAGUAUUAGGUGUCAUAUUAUGAGCUCUUCUCCGCCAGUAAGCUAUUUUCACUAUAUUGGGGGUUUUCAGUACAGACAGCACCAAAGAUGGGAGCAAAAUGCUAAGUAAUGCUAUGUACACACACAUGGGGUUUUGGAAAGGAGAAAGAUGCCGAAUGUUACUUAAUUAAAAGAUGAAAAAAAUCCUGUCUCAUACUUCACAUCAUCUACAUAAAUAAGCAAAGCGCCAUGUACUUCAUGAAUGAGCAAUAAAAAUAUGAACUGAAGUGUGUCAUAGAGUAGUAUGAAGGCCUUGACUUUAGAGCUGGAUUAACUGGGUUUGAAUCCUAGGUCUGCCACUAAAUAGUUGUAUAGCCGUGGGCAAGUUAACCUCCUUGUGAUUCAGUUUUUUCUUCUGAAAAAUGGUGAUGGAAACAAUCCUCUAUCUUAAAAGGUUGUGGCGGGGUAUUUGUAAGCUAUAAUGUCUAUUCUAUAAAAAGCAUGGUAUAUGCUGACUAUUAUUAUUAUUAAGUGAAUGACUUUUAGUACAUAGGAGAAGUUUAAAGUUCAAAUUGUGAAAAAAGGUCCAGAGUGGGGUGCCUGGCUGGCUCAGUCAGUGGAACAUGCAACCCUUGAUCUCCGGGUCAUGAGUCUGAGGCCCAUUUUGGGUACAGAGAUUGCUUAAAUAUUUUUUAAAAAAUUAAAAUUCAAACUGAGUUACAAAGCAGCAUUAAAAUCCUCAAAAUCCAACAAGUCACAAACUGCCCAAACUCCAGAAACUCCAGUUUUUUUCUUCCUGUAUUAGAAUGGUAUGCUAUUAAUUACUGUGUGCUAUUAUGUAGGUCAUAGGCCAGACUGGAUCUCUUGUCUCUUGAUUUAGGAAGACUUUUGUUGUAUUUAUUUCUUCUCUAUCCCAUUUCUUCCUCCUGGUAUUUGAUACACCCUUGCCAAACGUCUUAAAUGGCUUAUGCAAUCAUUUCUCUCCCUAAUAACCGAUGACCAUGGCAUUGGUAUUGAUCACUAAGAACAGCCAAUAAGAUAACCUGACCAAUACAUCCACAUCUACUUCCUGAGUUUCAAAUUGAAGACUGGGUGUAUUUUGUCCACUGUGAGUUAAAAAUGAAUGUAUUUUGCUCUCAUAUUGCUAUGUGGCAUUUUAGAAUUCAACUGUUUGUAAUCAAAGGAAAGCACUGUUCCAAACUACCAGCUUCUCUGAAUGCUAUACCUCAUGGGAAUUCAGAGAAACCCUAAGCAUCUUUAUCAGUUAUUUUCAAAAGAUUUAUCGGAGGAAGCUUGGCAUCUUAACACUGCAUGAUUUUUCUCGCUGCUCUGAAAACUUCAUUCAGAUUCACCCCAGAGCCACUGAACUUGCAUCAAAAAAUUCAGCCUUAGAGCAGAGAAGUGGCCUUUUCAAUAAAAGUGAUAAAAAUAA
Molecule: long non-coding RNA, 2526 nt
Organism: Acinonyx jubatus (cheetah)
Lineage: Eukaryota; Metazoa; Chordata; Mammalia; Carnivora; Felidae
Exons: 3
Source: RefSeq, a predicted model, not a curated record